AGCGAACGCUGACGGCGUGCCUAACACAUGCAAGUCGAACGUGAAAGGGAGCAAUCCCAAGUAAAGUGGCGUACGGGUGAGUAACACGUAGGUAAUCUACCCCAGAAUCUGGAAUAACCGGCCGAAAGGCUGGCUAAUACUGGAUAGAGCGACGGAAUCCGUAAUUGGGUUUUUCGGGAAAGGGAGCCUGUAAAAAGGCCUUCGUUCUGGGAUGAGCCUGCGUCCCAUCAGCUAGUUGGUGAGGUAAAAGCUUACCAAGGCAAUGACGGGUAGCUGGUCUGAGAGGACGAUCAGCCAAACUGGAACGGAAACACGGUCCAGACUCCUACGGGAGGCAGCAGUGGGGAAUCUUGCGCAAUGGACGAAAGUCUGACGCAGCAACGCCGCGUGAGGGAAGAAGGCCUUCGGGUUGUAAAGCUCUGUCGAGUGGGACGAAAAUGCUUGGAGUUCACAGCUCCAGGAACUGACGGUACCACUAAAGGAAGCACCGGCUAACUCCGUG
Molecule: ribosomal RNA, 502 nt
Filed under: uncultured bacterium
Lineage: Bacteria
Description: partial 16S ribosomal RNA
Rfam family: Bacterial small subunit ribosomal RNA
Source: RNAcentral